UAAGUGAAUUUUCAAUGAUCGAAGAUCUACAUUCAUACCUCGACAGUUUGAUUAGCUUUACCACUAAGUCUGAAUUUCGAUAUGACGGCGUUCUCUUCAACAUCAACAUUGUUCAAGCUAGCACUGGUCUUCGCAGUGGGUUCUUUUGACAGGGGGUGAGUCGGAGCUUGAACCAGGUCAAUUUCCAAAGGCCAAUGUCCAUUACUAACUUCUUUGAUCCUCUGUGACACCUUCUGCGUGCGCCGCAAACCCUCUGGCAUCUGUCGCAACCCCUCUGCACUUCUCUCCCUGCCCAACUCCCUGUCAGAGCUUACGAUCACGGAUUUUAUCAUGAAGAAAGUGCCAAACAUCAGUGGUAGGGUAGAUAUGUUCAGCCGUUUACCAGAUGAGUUGUUGAUUCUGAUACUUCUUUGCUUCCUACCAAGGAUGCUGCUCCUAUGUGUGUGUGGUGUGUAACCGAAUGAAACAUGUUUUCUCUUGGAUUAUGACCCUCAACUUCCAUGACUCACCUAUAUCUCAUUGUUCGCAACAUCGCUAUGAAAUUGAAUGUUUCCCCACUUUCAAGACUUUUGUGGAUGUUGUCAUCCAUGCAUACCAAUCUCUCUAUCUCAGCAGGUAUCGACUUCGCGUUGGCGCUGCCUUCGCUUCCAGAUACUUUCACGGGGAUGAGGCUUAUUUUUGGAAAACAACAAUUGUAUCCCGGAAUUGAAAUCCAUGCAAAUUAACGCGUGGAUCUCUUUUCUUUUUGAGGGAGUAUAUCUCUUUUCCAUUAAGCCGCUGUGCCCUCAUGGAGCUUGAUCUUCUCAUUCAGUUGAGGGAACCAAGGGAUUGUCAGCUGCUGGCAAAAAUUUUCACAUUUGAAAUGCUAGGGGUGUUGAAGCUGGAUGUCAACCUUGGUCUCAAACAAGUUUCAAAAGCGUCACCCAUUCGUCUUCCUCGCUUGAAACUACUCCACUUACGUGCUUCUCUCUGUAAUUCCGAGGAUUUGUUCUUGAUGUUCAAAGAAGGAGCAUAUUGGGGGAGCCAGGGACCGUUGCUGGUGUUUGUACUGGGAUGGAGUACGGAAUAAGGACUUGUGGCACAAGUGUUUGGCUGCUGAAAGUCAAGGAAGAAGAGGAAGCAGCAAUAGGCAGAGGUGAUCUUUGAGCUUUAUCUGUGUUCAAUAUAAGCACGUAGGUGACCAUUGGCUUUCUCCCGAGCUUUAUCCAGGGCAGGAUUCGAACCUGCAAUCUUCAGGGCAUGAGCCUAAUGAGUUUUCCAAUUACUCUACCUGGCAUGGCUUCGUUCGAGAAGCUCUCAAUACCUUGCAACAAUUUCUCUGGCCCAUUUCCUGAUGUCUUUGGAUGUAAUAUUCUAUCUUGAAAAGAAUUUUGGAGUAAGUUAUAUGCUCAAUCAAGCUAAUGGUGCAAGCACAAGGCAGCAACAAACUUCAAACUUUGUAGUGAAGGUUCCUUGGCAAGAACAUCAUCAGAUGAAACGAUUGAGUACGAGACCUUGCUAUCAACACUCGAUAUCAGCGGACAGAACAUAUCCAGGGCAUCUCAUCUUUCAACAUCAAAUGAUCUCUUAGUUCACCCUUUGCAAGAUAAAAAUUUCGCUUCUCGCUAUUUGAAGGCAUCUCAUCUUUCAACAUCAACGUUCUUUUUAUCGCGAUCCUACAAAAUUUCCACAUACCUGUUUCUGUGUAGUUUGUUUAUGUCAUGUUUUUAUUGAGUGUAGUAGGUAAAGGAGACUCUUAUGAUUUAUAAAUUCCCAUUGAUAUGAACAUCUGUAUUCUCGUGUUGUUAAAGUAAAUAACCUAAUUCCCAUUGAUCUUUUUUUUUCUAACUUGGGGGACGGCGCGCGUUAGCACGAUUAUUGUGCCGUAUGCUCGCGCCUUGGAUAAUACCAUAAAUCACUAUUUGUAAUUAAGUAUAUUAAUAAUCCGCAAAAGCUUUCAAAUUGUAAUUACUUUAUUAUGAAAAUAAUACUUCU
Long non-coding RNA from Spinacia oleracea (spinach), 1974 nucleotides. RefSeq lists it as uncharacterized. The transcript has 6 exons. Lineage: Eukaryota; Viridiplantae; Streptophyta; Magnoliopsida; Caryophyllales; Amaranthaceae. The record is from RefSeq and is a predicted model, not a curated record.